Molecule: ribosomal RNA, 292 nt
Filed under: uncultured bacterium
Lineage: Bacteria
Description: partial 16S ribosomal RNA
Rfam family: Bacterial small subunit ribosomal RNA
Source: RNAcentral
GUGCCAGCAGCCGCGGUAAUACGUAGGGUGCGAGCGUUGUCCGGAAUUAUUGGGCGUAAAGAGCUUGUAGGCGGUUUGUCGCGUCUGCCGUGAAAAUCCGGGGCUCAACCCCGGACUUGCGGUGGGUACGGGCAGACUAGAGUGUGGUAGGGGAGACUGGAAUUCCUGGUGUAGCGGUGAAAUGCGCAGAUAUCAGGAGGAACACCGAUGGCGAAGGCAGGUCUCUGGGCCACUACUGACGCUGAGAAGCGAAAGCGUGGGGAGCGAACAGGAUUAGAAACCCCCGUAGUCC